RNAcentral lists this ribosomal RNA (253 nucleotides) under uncultured bacterium. Its description in RNAcentral is "partial 16S ribosomal RNA". It matches the Rfam family "Bacterial small subunit ribosomal RNA", at positions 524 to 776 of the family's 1533-position model. The record is from RNAcentral.
UACAGAGGUCCCAAGCGUUGUUCGGAUUCAUUGGGCGUAAAGGGUGCGUAGGCGGCGCGGUAAGUCGGGUGUGAAAUCUCGGGGCUUAACUCCGAAACUGCAUUCGAUACUGCCGUGCUUGAGGACUGGAGAGGAGACUGGAAUUUACGGUGUAGCGGUGAAAUGCGUAGAUAUCAAGAGGAACACCUGCGGCGAAGGCGGGUUGCUGGGCCGACACUGACGCUGAGGCGCGAAAGCUAGGGGAGCGAACGGG